RNAcentral lists this ribosomal RNA (253 nucleotides) under uncultured bacterium. RNAcentral's name for it is "partial 16S ribosomal RNA". It matches the Rfam family "Bacterial small subunit ribosomal RNA", at positions 524 to 776 of the family's 1533-position model. The record is from RNAcentral.
UACGUAGGUGGCAAGCGUUGUCCGGAUUUACUGGGCGUAAAGAGCGCGCAGGCGGUCGGCUAAGUCGAGUGUGAAAGCCCCUGGCUCAACCAGGGAGGGUCAUUCGAUACUGUUCGACUCGAAGGCAGGAGAGGGAAGUGGAAUUCCGGGUGUAGUGGUGAAAUGCGUAGAUAUCCGGAGGAACACCAGUGGCGAAGGCGACUUUCUGGCCUGUUCUUGACGCUGAGGCGCGAAAGCUAGGGGAGCAAACGGG